RNAcentral lists this non-coding RNA (23 nucleotides) under Cricetulus griseus (Chinese hamster). Lineage: Eukaryota; Metazoa; Chordata; Mammalia; Rodentia; Cricetidae. The record is from RNAcentral.
AUGCUUGAAAUCUUGGAUACUGC